This 497-nucleotide ribosomal RNA is filed under the name uncultured bacterium. Its description in RNAcentral is "partial 16S ribosomal RNA". It matches the Rfam family "Bacterial small subunit ribosomal RNA", at positions 28 to 507 of the family's 1533-position model. The record is from RNAcentral.
GAUGAACGCUGGCGGCGUGCCUAAUACAUGCAAGUCGAGCGAACAGACGAGGAGCUUGCUCCUCUGACGUUAGCGGCGGACGGGUGAGUAACACGUGGAUAACCUACCUAUAAGGCUGGGAUAACUUCGGGAAACCGGAGCUAAUACCGGAUAAUAUAUUGAACCGCAUGGUUCAAUAGUGAAAGACGGUUUUGCUGUCACUUAUAGAUGGAUCCGCGCCGCAUUAGCUAGUUGGUAAGGUAACGGCUUACCAAGGCAACGAUGCGUAGCCGACCUGAGAGGGUGAUCGGCCACACUGGAACUGAGACACGGUCCAGACUCCUACGGGAGGCAGCAGUAGGGAAUCUUCCGCAAUGGGCGAAAGCCUGACGGAACAACGCCGCGUGAGUGAUGAAGGUCUUCGGAUCGUAAAACUCUGUUAUUAGGGAAGAACAAAUGUGUAAGUAACUAUGCACGUCUUGACGGUACCUAAUCAGAAAGCCACGGCUAACUACGUG